GGAGGCGAGACGGGUGAGCAAAGGCCGCUGGAGCCCAGGGUUCCAAGAGGUCUGGGGCGGCGGCAGGCCCCUUGCAGUUACCCUGGUGUUGAGGAGGGUCGGUCGCUGCCUCGCCCAGCCUGCUGCUGAACCCGCUGAUGCCCAGGCCACCCGCCUGCAUCUUGAUCGCCGACUUGAGCUCGUGAUUCUCCCGAAGGAGCCGCACCAGCUUCUUCAGUUCCUCAUUUUCCCGCACCAGCCUCUCGAUCUGAUGGCGAAGCCCCUCGUAAUUGGGGGACUCAGCAGACAGCAGGCCAAACUCCACUGGCAGAGAUGCCCCGCCCGCCUCGACCAGGCCCAUCCUGAGCCCUUUGUGGCACUGCCAGCUGCCCCAGCCCCGAGCCCCACCUGAUCUCCUCUCUGCACAUCUCAUCUGCUUCCUCCCUGCUUUCUUCACCUGUUGGCACCCACCCCCUCUCCUGGACAUUCUCUUGCCAGACGCAUCUUCCUGAACCCACAGCCAGCUGUGGCUCCUGCCAGAGGCCCCUUCACCGGCAGGACAGGUCCAAGCCCUCACCCACGUGCAGCCCUGGCCUUCCCUCCCGCGGUGGCCCCGCCCUGGCCCACACCUGCAGCCCCUGGUCGUCCCCAGGGAGCCUCUCCCAGGGACUAGCUCAGCCAAGAGUUUGUCCUCCUUGAACUCCCUGAGAAAACACCGUCCCUGCACAUCUCGCUCGGCAUUUAUUCCUGAGCCGCUCCUCUUGCCUCUGCUGGCGUUCUCUUCAACCACCCGGAUGCUCCGUGUUUUCUCCCCUGCGUGGAAUCCUCACGGGCCUGUGGGCUACCGCGGAGCAGGUUCCCGUGCGCUUGGAGCGCCUGCAGGCGGGGUCCCUUGGGUGAGGAGCCGCGCCUGCUCGAGGAGAGGCGGGGAAGGGGAGCCGCGUCGCCUGCCCGCGCUUGGCAGGUGAAGAGCAGAGCGCCGAGUGAGGCGUACACGAUCUCCAGGAUGCGGUUGCGGACAAAGAUGCAGAGGAUGGCGAAGACGAGGAGCACCGCCAUGCUCACCAGCAGCAC
This is a long non-coding RNA of Aethalodelphis obliquidens (Pacific white-sided dolphin), 1053 nucleotides long. RefSeq lists it as uncharacterized. NCBI's taxonomy places the organism in Eukaryota, Metazoa, Chordata, Mammalia, Artiodactyla, Delphinidae. The record is from RefSeq and is a predicted model, not a curated record. The transcript is spliced from 4 exons.